GAUGAACGCUGGCGGCGUGCCUAAUACAUGCAAGUCGAGCGAACGGACGAGAAGCUUGCUUCUCUGAUGUUAGCGGCGGACGGGUGAGUAACACGUGGAUAACCUACCUAUAAGACUGGGAUAACUUCGGGAAACCGGAGCUAAUACCGGAUAAUAUUUUGAACCGCAUGGUUCAAAAGUGAAAGACGGUCUUGCUGUCACUUAUAGAUGGAUCCGCGCUGCAUUAGCUAGUUGGUAAGGUAACGGCUUACCAAGGCAACGAUGCAUAGCCGACCUGAGAGGGUGAUCGGCCACACUGGAACUGAGACACGGUCCAGACUCCUACGGGAGGCAGCAGUAGGGAAUCUUCCGCAAUGGGCGAAAGCCUGACGGAGCAACGCCGCGUGAGUGAUGAAGGUCUUCGGAUCGUAAAACUCUGUUAUUAGGGAAGAACAUAUGUGUAAGUAACUGUGCACAUCUUGACGGUACCUAAUCAGAAAGCCACGGCUAACUACGUGCCAGCAGCCGCGGUAAUACGUANGUGGNCAGCGUUUAUCGGAAAUAUUGGGCGUAAAGCGCGCGUAGGCGGUUUUUUAGUCUGAUGUGAAAGCCCACGGCUCAACCGUGGAGGGUCAUUGGAAACUGGAAAACUUGAGUGCAGAAGAGGAAAGUGGAAUUCCAUGUGUAGCGGUGAAAUGCGCAGAGAUAUGGAGGAACACCAGUGGCGAAGGCGACUUUCUGGUCUGUAACUGACGCUGAUGUGCGAAAGCGUGGGGAUCAAACAGGAUUAGAUACCCUGGUAGUCCACGCCGUAAACGAUGAGUGCUAAGUGUUAGGGGGUUUCCGCCCCUUAGUGCUGCAGCUAACGCAUUAAGCACUCCGCCUGGGGAGUACGACCGCAAGGUUGAAACUCAAAGGAAUUGACGGGGACCCGCACAAGCGGUGGAGCAUGUGGUUUAAUUCGAAGCAACGCGAAGAACCUUACCAAAUCUUGACAUCCUUUGACAACUCUAGAGAUAGAGCUUUCCCCUUCGGGGGACAAAGUGACAGGUGGUGCAUGGUUGUCGUCAGCUCGUGUCGUGAGAUGUUGGGUUAAGUCCCGCAACGAGCGCAACCCUUAAGCUUAGUUGCCAUCAUUAAGUUGGGCACUCUAAGUUGACUGCCGGUGACAAACCGGAGGAAGGUGGGGAUGACGUCAAAUCAUCAUGCCCCUUAUGAUUUGGGCUACACACGUGCUACAAUGGACAAUACAAAGGGCAGCGAAACCGUGAGGUCAAGCAAAUCCCAUAAAGUUGUUCUCAGUUCGGAUUGUAGUCUGCAACUCGACUACAUGAAGCUGGAAUCGCUAGUAAUCGUAGAUCAGCAUGCUACGGUGAAUACGUUCCCGGGUCU
Molecule: ribosomal RNA, 1371 nt
Filed under: uncultured bacterium
Lineage: Bacteria
Description: bacterial SSU rRNA
Rfam family: Bacterial small subunit ribosomal RNA
Source: RNAcentral